Molecule: ribosomal RNA, 468 nt
Filed under: uncultured bacterium
Lineage: Bacteria
Description: partial 16S ribosomal RNA
Rfam family: Bacterial small subunit ribosomal RNA
Source: RNAcentral
GACGAACGCUGGCGGCGUGCUUAACACAUGCAAGUCGAACGGAAAGGCCCUGCUUUUGUGGGGUGCUCGAUUGGCGAACGGGUGAGUAACACGUGAGUAACCUGCCCCUGACAUUGUGAUAACAUCAGGAAACAGGGGCUCUUACCCGAUAGGAUCUCCUGCUGCAUGGUGGGGGAUGGAAAGUUUCGGCGGUUGUGGAUGGACUCGCGGCUUAUCAGCUUGUUGGUGUGGUAGUGGCUGACCAAGGCUUCGACGGGUAGCCGGCCUGGGAGGGUGAACGGCCACAUUGGGACUGAGAGACGGACCAGAAUCGUACGGGAGGCAGCGGUGGGGAAUAUGGCACAAUGGGCGGAAGCCUGAGACAGCAACGCCGCGUGCGGGAUGACGGCCUUCGGGUUGUAAACCGCUUUCGCAUGUGACGAAGCGUGAGUGACGGUAAUGGGUAAGGAAGCAACGGCUAACUACGUG